GAUGAACGCUGGCGGCGUGCCUAAUACAUGCAAGUCGAGCGAACAGACGAGGAGCUUACUCCUCUGACGUUAGCGGCGGACGGGUGAGUAACACGUGGAUAACCUACCUAUAAGACUGGGAUAACUUCGGGAAACCGGAGCUAAUACCGGAUAACAUGUUGAACCGCAUGGUUCAACAGUGAAAGACGGUCUUGCUGUCACUUAUAGAUGGAUCCGCGUCGCAUUAGCUAGUUGGUAAGGUAACGGCUUACCAAGGCAACGAUGCGUAGCCGACCUGAGAGGGUGAUCGGCCACACUGGAACUGGCACACGGUCCAGACUCCUACGGGAGGCAGCAGUAGGGAAUCUUCCGCAAUGGGCGAAAGCCUGACGGAGCAACGCCGCGUGAGUGAAGAAGGUCCUCGGAUCGUAAAACUCUGUUAUUAGGGAAGAACAAAUGUGUAAGUAACUAUGCACGUCUUGACGGUACCUAAUCAGAAAGCCACGGCUAACUACGUG
RNAcentral lists this ribosomal RNA (497 nucleotides) under uncultured bacterium. RNAcentral describes it as "partial 16S ribosomal RNA". It matches the Rfam family "Bacterial small subunit ribosomal RNA", at positions 28 to 507 of the family's 1533-position model. The record is from RNAcentral.